Molecule: ribosomal RNA, 253 nt
Filed under: uncultured bacterium
Lineage: Bacteria
Description: partial 16S ribosomal RNA
Rfam family: Bacterial small subunit ribosomal RNA
Source: RNAcentral
UACGUAGGGUGCGAGCGUUGUCCGGAAUUAUUGGGCGUAAAGGGCUCGUAGGCGGUUUGUUGCGUCGGGUGUGAAAACCUUGGGCUUAACUCAGGGCUUGCUUUCGAUACGGGCAGACUAGAGGUAUGCAGGGGAGAACGGAAUUCCUGGUGUAGCGGUGAAAUGCGCAGAUAUCAGGAGGAACACCGGUGGCGAAGGCGGUUCUCUGGGCAUGAUCUGACGCUGAGGAGCGAAAGUGUGGGGAGCGAACAGG